This 483-nucleotide ribosomal RNA is filed under the name uncultured bacterium. Its description in RNAcentral is "partial 16S ribosomal RNA". It matches the Rfam family "Bacterial small subunit ribosomal RNA", at positions 28 to 507 of the family's 1533-position model. The record is from RNAcentral.
GACGAACGCUGGCGGCGUGCUUAACACAUGCAAGUCGAACGCUGAAGCUCAGCUUUUGUUGGGUGGAUGAGUGGCGAACGGGUGAGUAACACGUGAGUAACCUGCCCCCUUCUUUGGGAUAACGCCCGGAAACGGGUGCUAAUACUGGAUAUUCACUGGUCUUCGCAUGGGGGUUGGUGGAAAGGGUUUUUCUGGUGGGGGAUGGGCUCGCGGCCUAUCAGCUUGUUGGUGGGGUGAUGGCCUACCAAGGCUUUGACGGGUAGCCGGCCUGAGAGGGUGACCGGUCACAUUGGGACUGAGAUACGGCCCGGACUCCUACGGGAGGCAGCAGUGGGGAAUAUUGCACAAUGGGCGCAAGCCUGAUGCAGCGACGCCGCGUGAGGGAUGGAGGCCUUCGGGUUGUGAACCUCUUUCGCUCAUGGUCAAGCCGCAACAAUGGUUGUGGUGAGGGUAGUGGGUAAAGAAGCGCCGGCUAACUACGUG